Long non-coding RNA from Canis lupus familiaris (dog), 985 nucleotides. RefSeq lists it as uncharacterized. The transcript has 3 exons. The record is from RefSeq and is a predicted model, not a curated record. Lineage: Eukaryota; Metazoa; Chordata; Mammalia; Carnivora; Canidae.
CUUCGAAUAUUCUGGGUUCAUACAAAGGUGAACUAAUGAUAUUUACAACAAAAAAAAUGGUCCUAAAUUUGUUGCAAAUUUCUUCAUAUAGAAUUGGUUGUUGUAUUGACUUGUACAAGUAAUAUAGCAGGGAUCUAAACAAGGCUCAGUCAGGUCCACUGCAAGAGAAAAACAGUCAAAAUAUGAAGACAAUUCAGUAAUUUAACUAUCAGGAUGGUGUAACAAAGUUUAAAUCUCAACACAUGUAAAUUGCAAAUUAAUAAUUCUAGGUUACGUGUUGAAUAUUGAUCAAGGUUAACAUAUUGAAUUGUGUUAAACUGAGGUAAAUUCUGAGUUCAAGUACUUCUACCAAGCUAUUAAUUCAUCCUCUAAUGUAUUCAUUAUUUAUAAUUAUAUUACCGGUUAUUGAUGUGGAAAAAUACCAUGUAUUUAUAAAAACACUUCUGGCUUUGUAAGAAUUAGAAAACAUUUUUCAAAGAAGUUAUACAACAUAAUUUUACCAUAUUUACUUAGAUAUUUGGUAGUGUUAUCAGAUAUUUAAACAGACAUUCAUGCUUACAUUUCUGUUGUCUCUAAAUUCCCAACAAGCCUGAAUCCUCUUAGUACUAGAAAACAACUAGGCAACAUUUUAUGUCAUCUAUAGUGAUGUCACACAGUGUGACACUAAUGAAAUAAUGGGUGCUAUGUAUAGUGUUUGGCUGUUUAUUUGGUGUAUAUUUUAGGAAAAAUCAAUCUCCAGAGGUCUUCCAGCAUGAUCUUGUAAAUGUCUUAGGACACAGUUGCUGCAGGAGAAGACUAAGUAGGGACAAGGAUGUAAAGAAAUAUGGCCACCAAAAGCCAUUACCCUUUGAACCCGAUCCAGCAAAUAAGAAGAGCUUUUGGCAUAUGCGUCUGCCAAGAACAUCUGAGAGCUACGAGAAGCAGCCACUAUAAUCACACACAGAGAGAGAGAGAGGCAGAGACACAGGCAGAGGGAGAAGCAGGC